UAGUCCGCACGAGCGCACCCUUGUCCUUAUUUGCCAUCGGGUAAUGCCGGGAACUCUAAGGAAACUGCCGGUGACAAACCGGAGGAAGGUGGGGACGACGUCAAGUCAUCAUGGCCCUCACGGGGUGGGCUACAAACGUGCUACAAUGGGCGGUACAAAGGGCUGCAACCCAGCAAUGGCGAGCGAAUCCCAAAAAACCGCUCGUAGUCCGGAUAGGAGUCUGCAACUCGGCUCCUUGAAGUCGGAAUCGCUAGUAAUCGCGAAUCAGAAUGUCGCGGUGAAUACGUUCCCGGGCCUU
Molecule: ribosomal RNA, 298 nt
Filed under: uncultured bacterium
Lineage: Bacteria
Description: partial 16S ribosomal RNA
Rfam family: Bacterial small subunit ribosomal RNA
Source: RNAcentral